Molecule: ribosomal RNA, 760 nt
Filed under: uncultured Lactobacillus sp.
Lineage: Bacteria; Bacillati; Bacillota; Bacilli; Lactobacillales; Lactobacillaceae
Description: bacterial SSU rRNA
Rfam family: Bacterial small subunit ribosomal RNA
Source: RNAcentral
GAUGAACGCUGGCGGCGUGCCUAAUACAUGCAAGCCGAACGAAACUUCUUUAUCACCGAGUGCUUGCACUCAUCGAUAAAGAGUUGAGUGGCGAACGGGUGAGUAACACGUGGGCAACCUGCCCAAAAGAGGGGGAUAACACUUGGAAACAGGUGCUAAUACCGCAUAACCAUAGUUACCGCAUGGUAACUAUGUAAAAGGUGGCUAUGCUACCGCUUUUGGAUGGGCCCGCGGCGCAUUAGCUAGUUGGUGGGGUAAAGGCUUACCAAGGCAAUGAUGCGUAGCCGAACUGAGAGGUUGAUCGGCCACAUUGGGACUGAGACACGGCCCAAACUCCUACGGGAGGCAGCAGUAGGGAAUCUUCCACAAUGGGCGAAAGCCUGAUGGAGCAACGCCGCGUGGGUGAAGAAGGUCUUCGGAUCGUAAAACCCUGUUGUUAGAGAAGAAAGUGCGUGAGAGUAACUGUUCACGUUUCGACGGUAUCUAACCAGAAAGCCACGGCUAACUACGUGCCAGCAGCCGCGGUAAUACGUAGGUGGCAAGCGUUAUCCGGAUUUAUUGGGCGUAAAGGGAACGCAGGCGGUCUUUUAAGUCUGAUGUGAAAGCCUUCGGCUUAACCGAAGUAGUGCAUUGGAAACUGGGGGACUUGAGUGCAGAAGAGGAGAGUGGAACUCCAUGUGUAGCGGUGAAAUGCGUAGAUAUAUGGAAGAACACCAGUGGCGAAAGCGGCUCUCUGGUCUGUAACUGACGCUGAGGUUCG